Molecule: long non-coding RNA, 597 nt
Filed under: Pan troglodytes (chimpanzee)
Lineage: Eukaryota; Metazoa; Chordata; Mammalia; Primates; Hominidae
Description: long non-coding RNA NONPTRT001852
Source: RNAcentral
AGAAGAGCCAAAAUUCAGAAGCUCAAAUACUUUAUUAAAAUAUUUUACAACAAUAAACAGGUUUCUUGUACUUCAGUAUCUCCCCUACAGUUUGAUUUUAAAGUCAUGUUUCAGCAAAUUUUCAAUAUUCAGUUAAUAUAUUGGCCUGAAGUGAUUUCUUUGGAGGUUUAUGAAAAAAGUGAAAGGACAAGCUUACUGGCAAAACUAUAUUUACCUUUACCUAACUACACAGAGCUGAAAGGCAAAACCGUUUUGCAAUAUGUAGAGUUUAGCUCUGAUAAGCUGGUCAUGCCUGCCGAUGGAGAAACAGGAAGCAAUGUGCCUUUUCUUCUUGAGGGAAAUGGAACUGAAGAACUCUGUCUUUUGACAUCAGGAAAACUUAGCUAUUCUCUAUCAUGGAGCUUAGAUGAAAAUGGUCUUCCUCUGAUACCUAUGCCACAAUCAUUAAGAUCUUCUUACUGCAGUAUGUUAAGGAAUGUAGAUGCAAGAAGUGUUCCUGGAAUUCCAUGGCUCAUGGAUGAACAGAAGCUUUUUGAAUGGGCAAAUGAAGUCAGAAUUGAUCCAAAUAAUCCAGAAUAUUCUGAUUUAAUGGAAUCU